AGUGGGGAGGCCAGAGAAGGAGAGCUGCUCUGUGAGUUGUCAGUGGUACAUUUUUAUCUGUCUGUAAAGCUGGCUGGCCCACAUCCGCAUGGCCAUUUCAGGGCUGCCAGCUUCCCUUGCGUUUCAUCCAUGUUCUGUCCAUGCUGACAGACAUGGCUCCAGGGAACUGUAAAGAAGGAGCGGUCGCAUCGUCAUUUGUCGUCACGUGUGAUGUCACGGAGCGAUUCCAGCUGCAGAGUGAGACUGUGUCUGUCUGCGGCGGGACUUGAAUGCAGUUCUGUGUCUAAGAAGCCUCUCUUCUGCUGCCCCCUUGGUGGCCCCUGCCCUG
This 328-nucleotide long non-coding RNA is filed under the name Mus musculus (house mouse). RNAcentral's name for it is "predicted gene, 47921". Lineage: Eukaryota; Metazoa; Chordata; Mammalia; Rodentia; Muridae. The record is from RNAcentral.